UACGGAGGGUGCGAGCGUUGUCCGGAAUCAUUGGGCGUAAAGGGCGCGUAGGUGGCCCGGUCAGUUCGUGGUGAAAGCGCGGGGCUCAACCCUGCGUCGGCCAUGAAUACUGCCGCGGCUGGAGCACUGUAGAGGCAGGCGGAAUUCCGGGUGUAGCGGUGGAAUGCGUAGAGAUCCGGAAGAACACCGGUGGCGAAGGCGGCCUGCUGGGCAGUUGCUGACGCUGAGACGCGAAAGCGUGGGGAGCGAACCGG
This 254-nucleotide ribosomal RNA is filed under the name uncultured bacterium. Its description in RNAcentral is "partial 16S ribosomal RNA". It matches the Rfam family "Bacterial small subunit ribosomal RNA", at positions 524 to 776 of the family's 1533-position model. The record is from RNAcentral.